CAGGGUUUGAUUCCGGAGAGGGAGCCUGAGAAACGGCUACCACAUCCAAGGAAGGCAGCAGGCGCGCAAAUUACCCACUCCCGGCACGGGGAGGUAGUGACGAAAAAUAACGAUACGGGACUCAUCCAAGGCCCCGUGAUCGGAAUGAGAACACUUUAAAUCCUUUAACGAGGUUCCAUUGGAGGGCAAGUCUGGUGCCAGCAGCCGCGGUAAUUCCAGCUCCAAUAGCGUAUAUUAAAGUUGUUGCGGUUAAAAAGCUCGUAGUUGAAUCUGUGUCUAACGGCGUCGGUUCACCGCUCGCGGUGUAACUGGCGCGCCGGUUGGACGUCCUGCCGGUGGCGGUCUGGGCUUUCGGCUAUGUGUAGGUUCGCCGAAGCAUGCCGUUGGUUCCAGCCGCCGAUUCAAUCCCGCCGCGGUGCUCUUAACUGAGUGUCGAGGUGGGCCGGCACGUUUACUUUGAACAAAUUAGAGUGCUUAAAGCAGGCUGGUGUCCGCCUGAAUACUGUGUGCAUGGAAUAAUGGAAUAGGACUUCGGUUCUAUUUUGUUGGUUUUAAGAAUCCGAAGUGAUGAUUGAUAUGGACAGGCGGGGGCAUUUGUAUUGCGACGUUAGAGGUGAAGUUCUUGGAUCGUCGCUAUACGUACCUAAGCAUGAGCAUUUGCCAAGUAUGUCCUCGUGGAUCACAGCCGAAAGUUAGAGGUUCGAAGGCGAUCAUAACUCGCCCUAGUUCUGGCCAUACACGAUGCCAGCCAGCGAUCCACCAUAGUUCCUCCGAUGUCUUGGCGGGCAGCUUCCGGUGAGCCUGAGCUUUUGGGWUCCGGGGCAAGUAUGGUUGCGAAGSUGUAACUUAAAGGAAUUGACGGAAGGGCACCACCAGGAGUGGAGCCUGCGGCUUAAUUUGACUCAACACGGGAAACCUCACCAGGCCCGGACACCGGAAGGAUUGACAGAUUGAUAGCUCUUUCUUGAUUCGGUGGGUGGUGGUGCAUGGCCGUUCUUAGUUGGUGGAGCGAUUUGUCUGGUUAAUUCCGAUAACGAACGAGACUCUAGCCUGCUAACUAGGCGUCUCCGGUAUCCACAAUAGUGCUACCGGCGAAUAAAUUUCUUCUUAGAGGGACAGGCGGCUUCUAGCCGCACGAGACUGAGCAAUAACAGGUCUGUGAUGCCCUUAGAUGUCCUGGACCGCACGCGCGCUACACUGAAGGAAUCAGCGUGUCUUCCCUGGCCGAAAGGUCCGGGUAACCCGUUGAACCUCCUUCGUGCUAGGGAUUGGGGCUUGCAAUUGUUCCCCAUGAACGAGGAAUUCCCAGUAAGCGCGAGUCAUAAGCUCGCGUUGAUUACGUCCCUGCCCUUUGUACACACCGCCCGUCGCUACUACCGAUUGAAUGAUUUAGUGAGGUCUUCGGACUGGUGCGCGGCGAUCGCCUCGUGUGGUCGCCGAUGUUGCCGGGAAGAUGACCAAACUUGAUCAUUUAGAGGAAGUAAAAGUCGUAAC
Molecule: ribosomal RNA, 1494 nt
Filed under: Telamona unicolor
Lineage: Eukaryota; Metazoa; Arthropoda; Insecta; Hemiptera; Membracidae
Description: SSU rRNA
Rfam family: Eukaryotic small subunit ribosomal RNA
Source: RNAcentral